Molecule: long non-coding RNA, 777 nt
Organism: Asparagus officinalis (garden asparagus)
Lineage: Eukaryota; Viridiplantae; Streptophyta; Magnoliopsida; Asparagales; Asparagaceae
Exons: 3
Source: RefSeq, a predicted model, not a curated record
UGGAGAUGCAACAAUCGUGCUACAUCCCAUCUGAGCAAAGACGAAAGGCGCACCCAGAAAAAGAUUGAAGGCAUACAGUGAAAAACGAACUAACCGCUGUGGCAUGUGCAACCAACAAGGUCAUAAUAUUCGGAGCUGUCCAAGUAUUUCAGUAAACAACGUUGACAAACAAGAUGUGAAUAACGACACUGGGCGAUAUUUUCCAUCUGAUAUGACAUGGUCACAAGAAGACUACAACCUGCAUUGAUUGGAAACAAAUUUAUCUUGAAAACUUUGCACAUUCUAGAUGCUUGGAAAGUCACAGACUCUUUUCAACAAAGAUACAAGAUUGGUAUUUGUGAAUGUGGAAGGCAGUGAAACAAGAUUGGUAUUUGUGAAUUAACAGAGCGAAUGGGAAGAUUAAGAGAUAACUGGAGAGAAAAGGCUAAUGAGGUGUCCCUAAGAGAUUUGGAAGGGAGGAUUGUUCUUGAUGUACGAAUUGCUUGUGGAUGAUGCUGUCAGCUAAAGUACUAAGUCGAAUGAUUAUUUCAUCUCCUAUACCUGGACAAUUUCUGGACUCUGCUUUUUGUGUUUGGAAUUAUGCUAGCUAGACUACACUCUCAUGUUAUUCUGUCUUAAACUUUAGUUUUUUUGACAUGUUAUUCUGCUUAUUGGAUUCAUUAUAAUGAAAAGAAAGCAAACAAGCUAUCUCUCUCAUUCUGUUAAACUUAAUAGGGUUCAAAUUUUGGAUUUGUGAUGGAUGAACCGAUGAAUGUAUCAUAUGUCUUAGAAGUGUGU